Molecule: ribosomal RNA, 253 nt
Filed under: uncultured bacterium
Lineage: Bacteria
Description: partial 16S ribosomal RNA
Rfam family: Bacterial small subunit ribosomal RNA
Source: RNAcentral
UACGGGGGGGGCAAGCGUUGUUCGGAAUUACUGGGCGUAAAGGGCUCGUAGGCGGCCAACUAAGUCGGAUGUGAAAUCCCCAAGCUUAACUUGGGAACUGCAUCCGAUACUGGAUGGCUUGAAUCCGGGAGAGGGAUGCAGAAUUCCAGGUGUAGCGGUGAAAUGCGUAGAUAUCUGGAGGAAUACCGGUGGCGAAGGCGGCAUCCUGGACCGGCAUUGACGCUGAGGAGCGAGAGCUAGGGGAGCAAACGGG